This 253-nucleotide ribosomal RNA is filed under the name uncultured bacterium. Its description in RNAcentral is "partial 16S ribosomal RNA". It matches the Rfam family "Bacterial small subunit ribosomal RNA", at positions 524 to 776 of the family's 1533-position model. The record is from RNAcentral.
UACGUAGGGUGCGAGCGUUAAUCGGAAUUACUGGGCGUAAAGCGUGCGCAGGCGGUUCGCCAAGUCUGAUGUGAAAGCCCCGGGCUCAACCUGGGAACUGCAUUGGAAACUAACGGGCUCGAGUGUGGCAGAGGGGGGUGGAAUUCCACGUGUAGCAGUGAAAUGCGUAGAGAUGUGGAGGAACACCGAUGGCGAAGGCAGCCCCCUGGGCUAACACUGACGCUCAGGCACGAAAGCGUGGGGAGCAAACAGG